GACGAACGCUGGCGGCGUGCUUAACACAUGCAAGUCGAACGGAAAGGCCCAGCUUGCUGGGUGCUCGAGUGGCGAACGGGUGAGUAACACGUGGGUGAUCUGCCUCUAACUUCGGGAUAAGCUUGGGAAACUGGGUCUAAUACCGGAUAGGACAAUCGUUUAGUGUCGGUUGUGGAAAGUUUUUUCGGUUAGGGAUGAGCCCGCGGCCUAUCAGCUUGUUGGUGGGGUAAUGGCCUACCAAGGCGUCGACGGGUAGCCGGCCUGAGAGGGUGGACGGCCACAUUGGGACUGAGAUACGGCCCAGACUCCUACGGGAGGCAGCAGUGGGGAAUAUUGCACAAUGGGCGCAAGCCUGAUGCAGCGACGCCGCGUGGGGGAUGACGGCCUUCGGGUUGAAAACCUCUUUCGACAGGGACGAAGCUUUGGUGACGGUACCUGUAUAAGAAGCACCGGCUAACUACGUG
RNAcentral lists this ribosomal RNA (464 nucleotides) under uncultured bacterium. Its description in RNAcentral is "partial 16S ribosomal RNA". It matches the Rfam family "Bacterial small subunit ribosomal RNA", at positions 28 to 507 of the family's 1533-position model. The record is from RNAcentral.